GGAAUGUUGUCUGGUCCGAG
This 20-nucleotide microRNA is filed under the name Oryza sativa (Asian cultivated rice). Its description in RNAcentral is "osa-miR166c-5p". Its record names the gene osa-miR166c-5p. RNAcentral also lists the same sequence under 1 other name. Lineage: Eukaryota; Viridiplantae; Streptophyta; Magnoliopsida; Poales; Poaceae. The record is from miRBase by way of RNAcentral.